AUCCGACCUCAAAUCAGGCGGAUUACCCGCUGAACUUAA
This 39-nucleotide ribosomal RNA is filed under the name Polyporus umbellatus. Its description in RNAcentral is "partial 28S ribosomal RNA". The record is from RNAcentral. Lineage: Eukaryota; Fungi; Basidiomycota; Agaricomycetes; Polyporales; Polyporaceae.